UCAAGGCCACGCCACUGAACACAGAUAAUGAAAUUCCAGAGUUCACAUGCAUAAGCAUAAUGCUAAGCUGCCUUAUAACAAAAUACAGAGGAGGAGACAGACACAUAAAUAAAGAAUUACUCUAUAAUGUGUUAAGGACAAUGCCAGGGAUAUACCAGCGAUUUAAGGCAUUCUAGAGAAAGAUUAUCUACGCCAGCCAUCAAUGCAAAUACCUUUCAUGGUGCAUGCUAAAUGUACCCUCUGAGACGCUGGCCUCAUUCCUUCCUGGAGAAAGCCCUGCCAUGGCCUCUUUGUGAACCAUCAUCACACAUACUAAUUUGAUCCCCUACAUCAGUUACAUCUCUAGAAACAGCUAGAGUUGUGUCCGCUCAGCAUACCCAACCCCAGCCAGCCAUGACAUAGUUGUGUUGUAUGCAGACUGUGCAAGGAAGAGUGAAGUCUUGCAACAUCUUAGCAGCUCCACUGGGCUCAGAAAAGGCAGGAGGGCUCAUCACUGUACAAUGUGCAGUUCCAAACAAAGCCUGUGCCGCCAGACUUGAUGAAAAGGGAAAUCAGUGGUGAGCUGCCAUGAGGGAGGGAGGGCAGAACAAUUAGGAGGGUUCAGAGGGCCCCUGCAAACCAGGAACUCCCACAAGCCAGCUCAGCUCUCCUGCCUUCUUGCUUCUCUUUCCUUUCAGUCCCAGAGUGGUGGUUCUCCUGCAGAAGCUCAGCUGAGGACAGUGAAUUAGUACGGGGGGAGGAGUGGGGAGGUAUGUGACUCUCUGUGCCCUAAAGUGACUCUUUUUUCUGUGCAGCUUGGAUGGGAAGUUUGGUGACACAUCAAGGAAAUUUCCAGAGAGAUGCAGAGCACCAGUGUGGGCAGGAGCCUCAGGCAUCUUGAGACAGGUUUCCACUUCUGACUCUCCUCAAUGAAGAUCCAUGGAGUGAAAGACCACGGAGUGAAGACCUUAGUGGCUAAGCAUGGGCCAUGAAUCUGUGAGGAUGUAAAAUAAAGAGACCUGUGCCCUGAGUGUCACCAGCUUGAAAGUGCUUCUUCUGCCCCCUGCCAGCCUGCCUCCUUCUGCAAGGUGGUGUCUGGGAUUGGUGCCUCCACCCAUGGAUGCUUUGGAUAUUUUGGCCAGUCCCGCUAAGAAGGUUUGAAAAGAA
This is a non-coding RNA of Manis javanica (Malayan pangolin), 1146 nucleotides long. Lineage: Eukaryota; Metazoa; Chordata; Mammalia; Pholidota; Manidae. The record is from RefSeq and is a predicted model, not a curated record.